AUGGCUCAGAUUGAACGCUGGCGGCAUGCCUAACACAUGCAAGUCGAACGCCCGCAAGGGGAGUGGCAGACGGGUGAGUAACACGUGGGAACGUGCCCUUCGCUUCGGGAUAGCCUCGGGAAACUGGGAGUAAUACCGAAUACGCCGUAUUGGGAAAGAUAUAUCGGCGAAGGAUCGGCCCGCGUUGGAUUAGCUAGUUGGCGGUGUAAUGGACCACCAAGGCUACGAUCCAUAGCUGGUCUGAGAGGACGACCAGCCACACUGGGACUGAGACACGGCCCAGACUCCUACGGGAGGCAGCAGUGGGGAAUCUUGGACAAUGGGCGCAAGCCUGAUCCAGCCAUGCCGCGUGAGUGAAGAAGGCCUUAGGGUUGUAAAACUCUUUCGCCGGUGAAGAUAAUGACGGUAACCGGAGAAGAAGCCCCGGCUAACUUCGUG
RNAcentral lists this ribosomal RNA (438 nucleotides) under uncultured bacterium. RNAcentral's name for it is "bacterial SSU rRNA". It matches the Rfam family "Bacterial small subunit ribosomal RNA", at positions 19 to 507 of the family's 1533-position model. The record is from RNAcentral.